RNAcentral lists this ribosomal RNA (253 nucleotides) under uncultured bacterium. RNAcentral describes it as "partial 16S ribosomal RNA". It matches the Rfam family "Bacterial small subunit ribosomal RNA", at positions 524 to 776 of the family's 1533-position model. The record is from RNAcentral.
UACGUAUGGUGCGAGCGUUGUCCGGAAUUACUGGGCGUAAAGAGCUCGUAGGUUGUUUGUCGCGUUGUUCGUGAAAUCCCGUGGCUUAACUGCGGGCGUGCGGGCGAUACGGGCAGACUGGAGUACUGCAGGGGAGACUGGAAUUCCUGGUGUAGCGGUGGAAUGCGCAGAUAUCAGGAGGAACACCGGUGGCGAAGGCGGGUCUCUGGGCAGUAACUGACGCUGAGGAGCGAAAGCGUGGGGAGCGAACAGG